This 253-nucleotide ribosomal RNA is filed under the name uncultured bacterium. RNAcentral describes it as "partial 16S ribosomal RNA". It matches the Rfam family "Bacterial small subunit ribosomal RNA", at positions 524 to 776 of the family's 1533-position model. The record is from RNAcentral.
UACGUAGGGUGCAAGCGUUAAUCGGAAUUACUGGGCGUAAAGCGUGCGCAGGCGGUUUUAUAAGUCUGAUGUGAAAUCCCCGGGCUCAACCUGGGAACUGCAUUGGAGACUGUAAAGCUAGAGUGUGUCAGAGGGGGGUAGAAUUCCACGUGUAGCAGUGAAAUGCGUAGAUAUGUGGAGGAAUACCGAUGGCGAAGGCAGCCCCCUGGGAUAACACUGACGCUCAUGCACGAAAGCGUGGGGAGCAAACAGG